UCAUCAGAAGUAGUGUUGGCUUAGUGGAAUGAUACAGAGAAGAUUAGCAUGCUUCCUGUUCAAGGAUGACAUGCGCAUCUGUGAAGUACUCCGUCCUAAG
This 100-nucleotide small nuclear RNA is filed under the name Neogale vison (American mink). Lineage: Eukaryota; Metazoa; Chordata; Mammalia; Carnivora; Mustelidae. The record is from RNAcentral.